GAUUUAUUGGUAAGAGAUUAGCCUGUAUUGUAUCAGUUAGUUGGUGGGGUAAUGGCCUACCAAGACGAUGACGCAUAACUGGUUUGAGAGGAUGAUCAGUCACACUGGAACUGAGACACGGUCCAGACUCCUACGGGAGGCAGCAGUGGGGAAUAUUGCACAAUGGACGAAAGUCUGAUGCAGCAACGCCGCGUGGAGGAUGACACAUUUCGGUGCGUAAACUCCUUUUAUAUAAGAAGAUAAUGACGGUAUUAUAUGAAUAAGCACCGGCUAACUCCGUGCCAGCAGCCGCGGUAAUACGGAGGGUGCAAGCGUUACUCGGAAUCACUGGGCGUAAAGAGCGUGUAGGCGGAUUGAUAAGUUUGAAGUGAAAUCCUAUAGCUUAACUAUAGAACUGCUUUGAAAACUGUUAAUCUAGAAUGUGGGAGAGGUAGAUGGAAUUUCUGGUGUAGGGGUAAAAUCCGUAGAGAUCAGAAGGAAUACCGAUUGCGAAGGCGAUCUACUGGAACAAUAUUGACGCUGAGACGCGAAAGCGUGGGGAGCAAACAGGAUUAGAUACCCUGGUAGUCCACGCCCUAAACGAUGUACACUAGUUGUUGUGAGGCUCGACCUUGCAGUAAUGCAGUUAACACAUUAAGUGUACCGCCUGGGGAGUACGGUCGCAAGAUUAAAACUCAAAGGAAUAGACGGGGACCCGCACAAGCGGUGGAGCAUGUGGUUUAAUUCGACGAUACACGAAGAACCUUACCUGGACUUGACAUAGUAAGAAUGAUUUAGAGAUAGAUUAGUGUCUGCUUGCAGAAACUUGCAUACAGGUGCUGCACGGCUGUCGUCAGCUCGUGUCGUGAGAUGUUGGGUUAAGUCCCGCAACGAGCGCAACCCUCGUCCUUAGUUGCUAACAGUUCGGCUGAGAACUCUAAGGAGACUGCCUACGCAAGUAGGAGGAAGGUGAGGAUGACGUCAAGUCAUCAUGGCCCUUACGUCCAGGGCUACACACGUGCUACAAUGGGGUAUACAAAGAGCAGCAAUACGGUGACGUGGAGCAAAUCUCAAAAAUGCCUCCCAGUUCGGAUUGUAGUCUGCAACUCGACUACAUGAAGUUGGAAUCGCUAGUAAU
RNAcentral lists this ribosomal RNA (1117 nucleotides) under Aliarcobacter butzleri. Its description in RNAcentral is "bacterial SSU rRNA". It matches the Rfam family "Bacterial small subunit ribosomal RNA", at positions 209 to 1342 of the family's 1533-position model. The record is from RNAcentral. Lineage: Bacteria; Pseudomonadati; Campylobacterota; Epsilonproteobacteria; Campylobacterales; Arcobacteraceae.